Astatotilapia calliptera (eastern happy) is the source of this 58-nucleotide microRNA precursor. The record is from Ensembl. Lineage: Eukaryota; Metazoa; Chordata; Actinopteri; Cichliformes; Cichlidae.
AGAAUAAUGCCAGCAGUCGGUCGUGGUGUCCCAGGGACCAGCACUGGUGUUAUUGAGA